CAGUCGCCGCGGUAAUACGUAGGGUGCAAGCGUUAAUCGGAAUUACUGGGCGUAAAGCGUGCGUAGGCGGUGAGUUAAGUCUGCUGUGAAAUCCCCGGGCUCAACCUGGGAAUGGCAGUGGAUACUGGCUCGCUAGAGUGUGUCAGAGGAUGGUGGAAUUCCCGGUGUAGCGGUGAAAUGCGUAGAGAUCGGGAGGAACAUCAGUGGCGAAGGCGGCCAUCUGGGACAACACUGACGCUGAGGCACGAAAGCGUGGGGAGCAAACAGGACUAGAUACCCGCGUAGUCCCUGUCUCUUAUAC
This 301-nucleotide ribosomal RNA is filed under the name uncultured bacterium. RNAcentral describes it as "partial 16S ribosomal RNA". It matches the Rfam family "Bacterial small subunit ribosomal RNA", at positions 509 to 807 of the family's 1533-position model. The record is from RNAcentral.